RNAcentral lists this ribosomal RNA (465 nucleotides) under uncultured bacterium. RNAcentral describes it as "partial 16S ribosomal RNA". It matches the Rfam family "Bacterial small subunit ribosomal RNA", at positions 28 to 507 of the family's 1533-position model. The record is from RNAcentral.
GACGAACGCUGGCGGCGUGCUUAACACAUGCAAGUCGUACGGUAAGGCCCUUUCGGGGGUACACGAGUGGCGCACGGGUGUGUAACACGUGAGUAACCUUCCCACAACUUUGGGAUAACGCUAGGAAACUGGUUCUAAUACUGGAUAUGUGCCCCUUCUUCAUGGUGGGGGUUGGAAAGCUCCGGGGGUUGUGGAUGUACUCGCGGCCUAUCGGCUUUUUGGUGGGGUAGUGGCCUACCAAGGCGGCGACGGGUAGCCGGCCUGAGAGGGUGACCGGCCAAAAUGGGACUGAGAGACGGCACAGACGCCGACGGGAGGCAGAAGGGGGGAAUAUUGAAAAAUGGGCGCAAGCCUGAUGCAGCAACGCCGCGGGCGGGAUGACGGACUUAGGGUUGAAAAACGCUUUCAGCAGGGACGAAGCUUUUUGUGACGGUACCUGCAGAAGAAGCACCGGCUAACUACGUG